GCGAGUGAAGCGGCAAAAGCUCAAAUUUGAAAUCUGGCCAGUUUUCUGGUCCGAGUUGUAAUUUGAAGAAGCGACUUUUGUGUGGGCUCUUGUCUAUGUUCCUUGGAACAGGACGUCACAGAGGGUGAGAAUCCCGUGCGAUGAGAUGACCCCAUGCUAUGUAAAGCGUUUUCGACGAGUCGAGUUGUUUGGGAAUGCAGCUCUAAGUGGGUGGUAAAUUCCAUCUAAAGCUAAAUAUUGGCGAGAGACCGAUAGCGAACAAGUACAGUGAUGGAAAGAUGAAAAGAACUUUGAAAAGAGAGUGAAAAAGUACGUGAAAUUGUUGAAAGGGAAGGGCUUGAGAUCAGACUUUGGAUUUCCACGGCGGGCUUUCGGGCCUGUCCUCUGGGGGUGUCAGGGCCAGCAUGGGUUUUGCGGGCGGGACAAUUGCGGGGGAAUGUGGCUCUUUUUCGGAGGAGUGUUAUAGCCCCCGCGGAUGCCGCCACGCGGGACCGAGGACUGCGGUUACUAGGAUGCUGGCAUAAUGAUCUUAAGCCGCCC
Molecule: ribosomal RNA, 540 nt
Filed under: [Candida] sp. GJ15M13
Lineage: Eukaryota; Fungi; Ascomycota; Saccharomycetes; Saccharomycetales
Description: eukaryotic LSU rRNA
Rfam family: Eukaryotic large subunit ribosomal RNA
Source: RNAcentral